AUUGAACGCUGGCGGCAGGCCUAACACAUGCAAGUCGAGCGGAUGAAGGGAGCUUGCUCCUGGAUUCAGCGGCGGACGGGUGAGUAAUGCCUAGGAAUCUGCCUGGUAGUGGGGGAUAACGUCCGGAAACGGGCGCUAAUACCGCAUACGUCCUGAGGGAGAAAGUGGGGGAUCUUCGGACCUCACGCUAUCAGAUGAGCCUAGGUCGGAUUAGCUAGUUGGUGGGGUAAAGGCCUACCAAGGCGACGAUCCGUAACUGGUCUGAGAGGAUGAUCAGUCACACUGGAACUGAGACACGGUCCAGACUCCUACGGGAGGCAGCAGUGGGGAAUAUUGGACAAUGGGCGAAAGCCUGAUCCAGCCAUGCCGCGUGUGUGAAGAAGGUCUUCGGAUUGUAAAGCACUUUAAGUUGGGAGGAAGGGCAGUAAGUUAAUACCUUGCUG
RNAcentral lists this ribosomal RNA (443 nucleotides) under Pseudomonas aeruginosa. RNAcentral's name for it is "bacterial SSU rRNA". It matches the Rfam family "Bacterial small subunit ribosomal RNA", at positions 30 to 471 of the family's 1533-position model. The record is from RNAcentral. Lineage: Bacteria; Pseudomonadati; Pseudomonadota; Gammaproteobacteria; Pseudomonadales; Pseudomonadaceae.